This 1082-nucleotide long non-coding RNA is filed under the name Trifolium pratense (red clover). RNAcentral describes it as "long non-coding RNA (TPRA_LNC012952)". The record is from RNAcentral. Lineage: Eukaryota; Viridiplantae; Streptophyta; Magnoliopsida; Fabales; Fabaceae.
CCGACCCAGCAAGAACCCUAAAAUUUUGCUUUCAACAACUCUGAUUCCCUCACUCCCUUCUACGUCUUUUUGUGUGUAUUUUAGGUGCUUAGAAGAAAGACAUACCUGGAAAGGCUAUGGGAAAUUCUUGUUGCUUUACAAGAGCUUAAGGUAAUUUCAAUUUUGCCCUGUUAUUUAAUUUUUAAGAUUCAGUUUUUUGGGUUUUUUUUCUUCUUUCUAAUGGGUUUGUAGGAAGAGGGUUUAUGGAAGGACCUCAAUUCACAAGGUGGCAAUGAAGAUGUAAAGGGGAGUUCUUUUUUUACGAUUUCUUAAUUUAUGUUUUUUUAGAAGUAUAAUUGGUUUAUUAGGUUUGGUAUUAGUUAAUCUUAGUCUUAGUAAUAAUUUAAUGAUUCAAUCCCUUGUCUGUUAUUAUGAUAUAUUAUUGAUGCAUAGCCUACCAAUUGUGUGCAAAUAUUUGAAAUCAAAGGGUAAAAGGACUUAUUCACACUACUUCGGAAAAUCUAAGUAUUGACACUUUUUUUGAACAAAAGUAUUGACACUUAAAUCAAUAUAUCUUGAUAAUAUAGAAGUUUGAUGUAUAAUUAUAGAAUAAUUAGGGUGUGUGUGUAUAAUAAGGAAUUUUAUAUAUGAUAAUUGAAUCAUUCUAUGUGGCGUGAGUUGAAACUUAAAAGAGUACAAAAAUUGCUAUACCUUAAAUUUUACUCUUAUUUGAAAUUUUGAAUAGUCUAUAAUGGGAUAUUGUUUGAUAGUAAUGAUUUAAUGUCCUCCGAUUGUAUGUUUGUUUGAUGUCAUUUGUUGCUUGGGCGAGUCUGUGCUGCUGUAUGUUUACAUUUAUUUGCUAUUUCUAAACUUUUGUUAUUCCCUCCCUUGUUAAUUGCAUUAAAAUUUCCACUAUAUUUGUCUUUUUUCUUUAUGCUGUCAUUGGGACUUCAUAUCCCAUGAACUGUUUGGCUAGGUGAUUCUUUCAUGCUGAGUGUGUUUUGGUGUUGUUUUUUCUACUGUGCAACUGUGGUUUUUGAACAAUUUACCUUCUUGUCUGUCUCACAAUUGAAGGUUCCAUCUUUCUUAUGCUUCUCGGCUGC